GAUUGUGAAUAUCAUUGUCGAUCACCGAUGGAAUGGAAGGCAGUUGUGAUUGAUGGAAUGAAAUUCUCAUCAAAUAGUUUUCGAUGGAGGUGCAAUAGUAUAAGACACUGAAGGUUUUAAUUAUCUUGUUGAACUAAAAAUGAUUUAAAAAAUUGGCAUAGGUCAAAAUAAUAUCCCAUUCUUUUGAUAUUUGAUUCUCCAAGAACCUCAUCUUUACAUCAACAUACAUAUAUGUAUAAAAUAUAAUAAAUAUGAAAAUUUUCUAUCUGCACAAAACUUCAUAGAUGAUAGAAUGUUUCUCUCUGGAUCCAUCCAUAUGUUGAAAAAAUAAUGAGUAGGUCGGUCCUUUACUCCUUUUUUGAAUGGGCAAUGACGAUAGCAACCAUGUCCAUAGAUUGAAGGAGUAGUUUAAUGGCGAGAUCUAAAGGAUUUUUGACAACUUUGUAGGAAACUAAACAUUCAGUAACAUCCGCAUAGCAACUUUUAAUCCUUUCAUCAGCCACCUUGUACUUUUCAAAUUCAAUAAAUGGAAAGGUUCCAUUUAUGAUUUUCGCCACGCCUGUUAAUUUCACCACGCAUUCUUCAGCAGCCUUGGUGUUAAUAGAAUUUGUCCUUUUCUUCAUCUCGACAACAUGUUUAGCUAAUUUUACAGAAUUUUCAGCGUAACCGUGAGUUACAUUGAGUUCAUUCUUCACAAGGCUUCUUUUAUCUAAACACUCAACACCAGAUAAACGAUUGGUACAAAGUUCUUUAUCUUCUUUGGGAGCAGAUUCACAUACUUCCUUCGUAAAGGGAUUCAAUUUAGGAGGAGAGGAUGAAUUGAGGUCAAAGGAGAGGAACACAAGAAGUAUGGUGAAAUAGGAGUAUGCAGAUGCAGCCAUUUUAAUUUGGACUUUUAUUUGAUGAAAUGUAUAACUUUUAUUGGACGAAAAGCUAGAUGAUCGAUGGAAUUAUUUGAUGGAGAAAAGGUGGGGAAUGUUCAGGUUUUUAUACUAAGAUCAACAAAGGGAAGAACAAUUACAACCAACAACUUUUUAUGUUUAAAUUUGAAUUGAUGAUUUAAUAGUAAUGGUUGUUAGCUAGACAGAUAUUAUUAUUAGAUGAAGAUGCAGUUAACAGAUACCUGUAAUUCAUUAAACAUAGCAUAUGAUGAACAAACAUUCAGAUGGCUGAAGAAGACAGACAAUCAUAAAUUUUUGAAUUUGUUUUAAUUUGUGUUUUGAAGAAGAUUUGACUCAACUCAAUUUGAAGAAGAUUUGACUCAACUCAAUUUUUCCAUUUGGUUGGUUCAUUGUUGUUAUUAAUUAUCUGAUAACGAGGCAGGGAUUGCGUUCCCCGUCUUCAGACCCAAAAAUCUUCCCCGUCCCGGACCAGUAAUGUACUAAUGUUACUAUUUAGUAUUUACUAUUUACUAAUGUAAUUAAAAUACUGAUUUAAAUGUAAAUAGUCUAAAUAUUUAAAAAUUAAAUAAUUCAAAUGUAAAUAGAUAAUAAUUUAGUAAAUUAAAAUAAAUUGGUAAAUUUUGUAUGUUAUGUUAUUAUGUUCAUUUUUAUAGAUCAAUUUUAUUAAGGUUAAAUAUAAUUUUUGUAUGGAAUAUAAUAUAUUUUAAAUAUAAACAUAUAUAUUUAAUAUAUUAUAUAGGGUUAUUUAUAUAAAUUAUACUAUAUAAAAUAUUAUAUAAGGUUUAUAUGCAAUUUUUCCCAGGUAGGGGGAUUAUCCGGAGUGGGGAUUUCAAUCCCCGUAACUGGAAAUGGCCGGGGACGGGGAAUCUGUAACCGGAUCUAAAUUCCUUGGUAGAAAAUGAAGUCUGGGAGAGAUCUACUCUUCUUGUGGCCUGACGGCUAGGGUUUAAAUCCACAAAUAAUUUGAUUAAAAAAAGAAAUAGAGUCUAGGGUUCGCCUUAUAUAGGCUACACACUUAACAGAAAUAAAAACAAUUUAAUCUAAUUAAUUAGAACACACCAAAUAGGCCCAACUUUUGAUCCAAUUCGUAGUUCAGAAGCUUGUGUAUUGGGACCUUCUUGCGCAUUUUCUCCUUCUAAGUGAGUUUUGUACUUCAUUGUCAGAUUGUACUUGAUACCUUGAAGUAUUUAAACCAAGAGGAACACUUUCUAAGGUUUCCAGAUCUAAACCCACCGCCUCCACUUCUUCAAACAUGUCUAACUCUUCCGGAUCUCUCUCCUCUACCACAACAACUCUUCCAUCGGACACCGGGCUUCCUCCGACAAUAACCGCCAGGUUACAUCUCCUCCGUCCUCCACAAAAGACUCGACCUCGAAUCUGGCCUUGGGAAAAGCUUUGCACAGGUCGUUUAUUUUCUCCCAUGAUUUUUCUAAAUCAUUCAACCCAUUCCAUUUGACCAAUACCUCCUUUUCUUUCUUCCCGUUCUUGAGUGUUGUUCUUCUAGCCUCCAACGAAUCUGGCACGAUUACAAGUCCAUUAUCCACUGAAAUUUCCGGAAGCCUGCAAGGUAUGACGUUAGAGCUAUCACCUCUGAAUUUUUUUAAUUUUGAAACAUGAAAUACAAGAUGUAUUUUGCUUGUUUGUGGUAGAUCUAUCAUCAUUGCUACUUCAUUUAUUUUUCUUGUAACAGUAAAUGGUCCGUAGUAUCUUUGGCCCAUUUUAUGAUUCAACCCAGCUUUGAUAGAUGACUGUUUAUAUGGCUGAAGUUUGACUAGUACGGUAUCUCCUACUUCAAAGCAUAUAGGUGUUCUAUAUUUAUCUGCUGCUCUUUUCAUUUUUGCUUGAGCUUUAUUUAAAUUUCUUUUACUGUUUCUAAAAUCUCUUCCCUUCUCAACAUUUCCAGAUCUACUGCUUGGAUUUUUGAAUCUUGCGGAAUAUACGAACAUCCGGAGGGUCACGACCAUAUAAAGCUUUAAAGGGACUCAUAGCCAUAGAAGUGUGAAACGAAGAAUUGUACCAGAGCUUCGUCCACGGCAAGAAUUCCAGCCAACGCCUAGGCUUCUCGUGCACAAUAGACCUGAGGUAGUGUUCUAUUGCUUUAUUUACUAUUUCUGUUUGCCCGUCCGAUUGUGGAUGGUAGGCAGAAGACAGCUAAUUUGCACCCAUUUUGCCGGUGAAGCUUCCCCCCCGUUCGGAGACUAUUGAUCGUAGGAAGCCAUGAAGUUUGAUGAUAUUAUUUAUAAAAUAUUCAGCGACACUUGUUGAUGUAUACGUCGACGGUAGAGCCCCUAGGUGUACAAACUUGGACAACCUGUCCACCACAACGAUAAUAACGCUCUUUCCUCUAAUAAUCGGUAAACUCGUAAUAAAAUCAACAGAGAUAUCUUGCGACACGGCCUCCGGAAUCGGUAACGGUAAUAAUAAUCCAUACUUCUUAAUAUUCUCAUUCUUCAUCUGUUGGCAAGUUAAACAAGUAGAUACAUAUCUUUAAUUUGAACCGACAUACCUUCCCACCAGAAAGAAGUUUUGAUACGUUUACUUGUUCUGUCGAUACCAGUAUGACCACCUAGAACCGAUCCAUAUAGGAUUUCCAUAAUUUUUAAUGUAACAUUUGAAUCCUUAGGAACCCAUAUUCUUGACUUAUAAAUAAUUAAACCUUCUGUGAAAACAUAAUUUGUUCGGCUAAGCUUUCCAUCUUUAAUAUAUUUUUUUAUCAUGUUUUCCCAUCCUUUAUCUUUGAUCUCAGAUUUCAGAUUCAGGAUAAUAUCAGCCUUAGAUGCAUAAAUAGAAAACAUAGUGCUUCCUCUUACCACCUCACUUUCUUCUGAUUCAUCUUCAAAUCUUCUGGACAGUCCAUCCGCUGCAAGAUUUUCUUUACGUGGUUUGUAAAGAAUUUCGAAGUCGAACCCUAAUAAUUUGUAUAAAAAUUCUUGUUUCUCCGGAGUUUGAAUAAUCUAUGUCAAUAGAUUCUUCAAUGUUCUGUGAUCUGUUUUAAUAAUGAAAUGCCUCCCUAAUAAGUAGUGACGCCAUUUCGCAAUUGCCCUGGUGAUAGCAAAUAAUUCUCUUGCAUAUGUAGAAGCUUUUCUUCUUUUCCCUGUUAGCUUACAACUAAAAUAAGCUAUAGGAUGAUCAUUCUGCAUAAGUACUGCUCCAAUACCCGACUGAGAUGCAUCUGUUUCUACUGCGAAGGUUAUAGAAAAAUCUGGGUAACUUAGAACUAGAGGUGAUAACAUUGCUUUUUUUAAAUUUGCAAAACUUAUUGUAGCUUCCUCACUCCAAACAUAUCCAUCCUUUUUUAGUAAUUUUGUCAUAGGAUGUGCUAUGUGUGCAUACUGCUUAAUAAAUCUUCUAUAGUAGCCCGUAAGGCCUAGAAAUCCUCUCAGUUGCUUAAUCGUUGUUGGUAACUGCCAUCUCAUCAUAGCAUCGAUUUUUUCUAGAUAUAUCUGGCUUAAUUCCUUCUCCCCCAAUAAUAUGCCCCAGAAAUUGUAAUUCCUUCUUUCCAAAUGUAUAUUUGUUUCUCUUGGCCGCUAGAGAAUGACUUCUUAGGAUCUCAAAAACAAUUCUUAAAUGAUCUCCAUGUUCUUGUUCAGAUCUGCUAAAAACUAAAAUAUCAUCGAAAAACACAAUAACGAAUCUCCUCAAUUGUUUCUGGAAAAUACUAUUCAAUGCUUGAAACGUUGUUGGAGCAUUGGUUAGCCCAAAAGGCAUUAUUAGAAAUUCGAAGUGACCACUAUGAGUCCUAAAAGUUGUUUUAGACACAUCUGGUGGAUGUAUUCUUAUUUGAUGAUAACCUGAUCUUAAAUCCAACUUUGAAAAUACCAUAGCUCCAUUAAGUUCGCCUAAAAGUUCAUCCACUGUAGGAAUAGGAAAUUUAUCCUUAACUGUUAUGUUGCUUAGAGCUCUGUAGUCUACGCAUAAACGCCAACCACCGUCCUUCUACCUCACUAAAAUAACCGGAGAUGAAUAAGGGCUGGUACUUGGUCUUAUAAUUCGUUGAUGUAACAUCUCCUUAACAAGACUUUCUAUUUCUGUUUUCUGAUAUUGAGGAUAUCGAUAGGGUCUCACCGAAACGGGUUUAGCAUUAGGGAUUGUAUGAAUAUAGUGAUCCCUUUCUCUGAAAGGAGGAAGUUCUGUUGGAACUUCGAAAACAUCUUCAAAUUCCAAUAGCAACUUCUCUGCCUCCUCAUCAAUAAAUUCUUUUUCAACUUCUGCCUCAACCUUUAUUAAUUCAAUGUGUAAAAAAUAUCCCAUGGGCUGAUGUGAAAUAAAAGACUUCAACUCUCUACUGGAUAUUGGGUUAUCGUCCACUAAUUCCUGACUAUACCAUACAGUUUUCUUGCCUUCAAACUAAAAUUCCAUAUACAUUUCUUUGUGUUCUGUCGCUACUCUUCCCAGACUUUCCAACCAUUGUGCCCCUAAUACAACAUUAGCUCCAGAAACAGCUAGUGAGUACAGGUCGAUUUUUAUAACCGUGUCUUGAAUUUCAAUUUUAACCUCUCUACAAACUCUGGUACACCUCAAUUUAUCGCCACUACCUGUAGACACAUCAAAUGGUAAAAAUUUUGACACCAGUAGUUUAAGGGAUUCUACCAAGCUGGAUUGAAUGAAGUUAUGGGUUGAUCCCAAAUCCAAUAACAUUGGUACUCUAUUACUGCCAAUAGAUCCAUAAAUCCUGAAUUGCCUUGGGCUGAUUAUCCCAUCUAGAGCAUCUAGGCUGAUUAAUGAUUUCUCUCCCCUCAGAAUUAUUGGUACCUUUUCAUUCUCCCUCUCUUCAUCAGAGCUAUCAUAACCUGUCACCUCCGUAAGUUGACUCCCAUCGGCGGACAAUAAUAAUAAUUUCCCCAUACAUCUAUGGCCUUUAACCCAUUUUUCGUCACAAUUGAAGCAUAAUGACUUUUCUCUUUUUAUCUUCUUCUCCUCUUCCGUUAACUAUUUUCUUAUAUUGGGUAUGGAAGAUAAAAUACUGUCUGGCCUUUUAUGAGGUGGUGGUAUAUAUGCUUUGUUUUCAUAAUUAGACCAUUUCACCUUACUUUUCAACUUCUGAUUUUGGAACUCACAACACAUAUUUGCCAUAGAAAAUGCGUCAUUGAUAUCCUUUGGUUUGGCCAAUAAAAUCUUUUCUUGUACAACCGGUGUUAGGCCCGUAAUAAACAUUUCUUUUAGAGCAGCCUUUGAAACACCAUGAGCUUUAGUUGCUAGAUUUUUGAACUUUUGUUGAUAUUCGGCUGUAGACAUUGUAUCUUGUUGUAAUUUGCUUAAUCUACCUGUCGGAACAUCAUAAGGAUUUCUUCCAAAUUGCCUCGUGAUAUCAGCAAUGAAAUCCCCCCAGCAAUCAAUAUUCCCUUCCUCUUCCAUCUAAACUAACCAGUCAAGAGCAUCUCCUUCCAUACUCUGAGUUGCCAGAAAUAAUCUCUUGUCAUCUUUAAUAUGAUAAUGACGGAAGAAUUUAGUAAUCUUGAGCAGCCACUCCUCAAUGUUUAAUCCCGAGAAUUUAGGAACAUCUUUCGCCGAAGGCCUCAUAAAGUCCUGUUUGCCACUGCUCGAUCCGUUCUCCACCGAUUUGUUAUCAUCCAUAUCUUCUUCCAGUGCCAAUCCCAGUUUUAUUUGAAUCCCGUGAACUGUAGAUUCUAAGGCUUUCGUCGAAGAUAGAAAGCUUGCCUCCAUCUAUUUUGUAACAGCCGAGAAUUGAGUUACUGUAGAGUUUAAUGAUAAGGCAUGUUCAUUUUGUUCCUUGCGCAUCUCCCUCAGUAAUUCCUCCAUUGUUGCCAUAAAAAAAACCUAACAACAUAUGAUGUGAUAGAGGUAUUCAAUUAAUAGAUCUGGAAAACGAGACUUCCCUUUAGGGGACCUAGUUAAGGACUACGACGACCCUUGAAAGAUUUGAUCGAAUCGUUUAUUCCGUUGUUUCUGACGUCUUGACAUCCUUUCUUCCGAGAUAGAUUCACUGUUGAAAGCACCAAUGUAACCGGAUCUAAAUUCCUUGGCAAAAAUGAAGGCUAGGAGCUAGAGAUCUACUCUCCUUGUGGCCUGACGGCUAGGGUUUAAAACCACAAAUAACUUGAUUAAAAAAAGAAAUAGAGUCUAGGGUUCGCCUUAUAUAGGCUACACAAUAGAAAUAAAAACAAUUCAAUCUAAUUAAUUCGAGCCCACCGAAUAGGCCCAACUUUUAAUCCAAUUCGUAGUCCAGCAGCUUGUGUGUUGGGAUCUUCUUGCGUUUGCUCUUUCUAAGUGAGCUUUGUACUUCAUUGUCAGAUUGUACUUGAUACCUUGAAUAUUUAAACCAAGAGGAACACUUUCUAAGGUUUCCAGAUCUAAACCCGCCUCCACUUCUUCAAAAACGUCUAACUCUUCCGGAUCUCUCUCCUCUACCGGCAAUCACUCUUCCAUCGGACACCGGGCUUCCUCCGACAAUAACAGCCGGGUUACAGAAUCUCACCCCUAACUAUAACUACUAAUUUAGAGUAGCCAUUAACCGUGACAAGCGAUUAAAGGCCAACUAUACAUCAAGUGGAGUUAGUGUGAUGUACUGAAAAGAUCUAAUUAUUGAAUUAUGAAUUAAGCACAUUAUUAGUUUUACACUAAUCCUAUUUAGAUGUUUCUAAAAUAAACAUUUUGAUGUAACAACCCCUACUACAUUGUGGUUGUACAUCUUUAUUCUCUGGUUAAGUGUAUAUAAAAUGACUCAAUAAUAUGCAAUUGAUCCAUCGAUUAAUUACCCUAAAUUACUAAUCUCCCUCCUUGCUUCAUCUCUUCAUCUUGCUCUCAUCUUCCAUGGCCGAUCAUACUAGAAAAGUCAAGAUUUUAUCAGAGCAACUCUCCAGGUUGUCCGGUCUUGAGGCACCAUAUCGGAGUUCUUCAAAACGAUGCCAUCAAUUGGAUCGAUCCAAUCCUUCCUACAAAUCAAGUUGACGCAGACCAACUACGUCGUCUGGAAGAAAUAAUUUACCCCACUGCUAAACUGCUUCAAUCUCCCAUGUUCAUCAAUGGAAAAGAAUCACCUCCGGAGGAGAUCUUGCCGGAAUAUCUGCUUUGGUAUCACUUCAACCCGUCAUAAAUAUCACUUCAGCCCAAGAGGCCCACUAUGGUAAUAAUGAUAUUGAUCAGUCUAAGCCCAUUGCAUGGUCCCCCGAUUCUGGGGCCACACAUCAUUUUUUUCCAAAUGUACAGGCUAUUUUCACUCCACAAACAUACAAUAGGCCGGACUAAGUCCAAUUAGGUAAUGGCACGAAACUUAAAGUAAAUCACAUAGGGGAUGGCAAAAUUAUAAAUAAUGGAACCUCCAACUCAUUCACAGUGACGUCUGGGGACCUUCACCAGUAUAUCAUAUUUUGAUGGAAAUAAAUAUUUUGUAUAUUUAUUGAUGAUUAUUCUAGAUUUAUUUGGCUACUCUCAAUUAAGUAGAAAUCUGGGGUUACUAAUAUUUUUUCAAAAUUUCAAAUCAUGAUUGAAAGUAAAAAUUUCAAACUCUUCAAUCAUAUUUUGUGUCUCAGGGUAUUUGUCACAGAAAAUCAUGUCCUCAUACACGAGCAAAAUAGGAUGGCUGAAAGCAAAAUUAUCUUCCAUAAUAAUACCUCCGCUGCUGCACACAUCGGGUUGUGUUCAACGAAAUAUGCCACUGGUCGAUCAAUUACAAAGCACUAUCCGGAUUGGAACUUACUCAAUUUGAUGAUUCUACGGAGCCUCGCUCAUUCAAACAUGCCUCUAAAUCUCAUGAGUGGAUUCUAGAAAUGGAGAAAGAAAUACAAGCUAGAAUUAAGUAUGAAUGCAACAUGGUCACUAGUUGAGGCACCACCCAACACAAAUAUUAUGUCAUGCAAGUGGGUGUAUAAAUUUAAGAGGAAGGAAGAUAGCUCAAUAGAAAGAAAGACCGUCUUAUGGCUCGAGGUAUUAGUAUUAAAACAUUAAACUAAGUAUUACUCCUUAAUUAAAACUUAAUUAAACUAAGUAUUAGUCAUAGUUGAAUUAAACUAAGUGUUGAUAUUACUAAUGAAGUUUAUUUCAGGUUAAUGGAUCAAGCCCAAAACUCAGAUCCGGCCCAGAAAUGAAAUAAAGAUAUUUGAUGGUGAAGGAUCAAGUUGCAAAUAUUAAUUAGUUUUGGGCUGUAAUAAAAUAGAAAAUCUUAUAAAUAGAUAUUGUAAAAACUACAAUUUAAUCAAUUCAGAUAAAAUCGUUUCCCCUCUUUCUGUUAAAAAACAGUUUCACUUCUUCUUCUCCAAUCUUCUUCACGUCGUUCUCCAUCUGAUGAUUCCCGGCCUAUAGACGGGAAUACUGGACCAGAUUUCGCGUUAUAUGGUAUCAUCGGUCGACUCUGGGAACUCGCUGUUGUUUUCAUUCUCUCUAGUGCAUUGCACACUCUGAUUUCAUGGAUGUCGAAAAAGAAACAAGCACAGAGAUGGAAGCUUCUGUUGCUGUUGAAAAAAAAGCCAUUUGACCUAGAAACAACAUUCACAACCAGGUCAUCUGUAUACUUUUUACAUUCUAGCGAUAAUCCGAGUAAUAAAAUUGUAAAUGACCUCCUUAAAGGUCAAUCAAACUACCCAACCUGGUACAAAGAUAUGAAACUUUGGCUAGUAACCAGGAGAAAGCAGAAAUUUAUUAAUGGAAAAGUCUCCAGGCCUAAGGAUGAAAACUCAGAAGAGUUUGAGGCCUGGGAGACAGUAAAUGGGGUAGUUUUCUCUUGGAUUAUUAAUGCUUGUGAUAAAAAUAUAGCAGCCUCUAUUAGAUCUGCUGAGAGUGCUUAUGAAGCCUGGGAAAUUUUAAAAAUAAGAUACAGCCAAGGGCAGGCACCUCUGAGGUUUCAAAUUGGUCAAGAAUUGGCCAAUUUAUUUCAAGGAGAUAUGUCAGUGAGUGAUUACUACAUAAAAUUAAAAUCAGCUUGGGAUGCCUUGCAAGAUAUUAGUAAAAUAAAGAAAUGUACAUGUGGUGUUUGCACAUGUGGAGCUAUUGAAUCUUGGGAAGAAGAGGUUGAACAAGACAAAGUGGUCAAAUUCCUUUUAGGUUUAAAUUAGGAAUUUUUAAAUGUAAGAAGCCAAAUAUUGGCUGGAAAAGAAAUUCCAAAUAUGGAUUCUGCCUUUUCAACAGUAAUUACUGAUGAAAAGCAAAGAGGGGUCACCAUUAAAAAAAUAUAAUUAUGAAAGUACCCCCAUGGACAGUGCUAUGGCUGUAAGAAAGGCUUCUAACAUUAGGAAUGAACCUUUCAACUCUGAGAAGUAUAAGUUCAGUAGGAAAGAAAUUAAACUCAAUUUAAAAAUCAGAUGUGACCAUUGUUGGUUUUAUGGUCACACCAAAGAUUCAUGUUAUCAUCUGACUGGAUAUCCUUCUGAGAAAGAUGCAGCUAGAAAUUCUUUCUCUGCUACUAAGAAGUUCAAAACAGAGCAUGCUAGUUCAGCCAUCACACACACCAUUACUGAUGAGGAAUAUAAAAUCAUGCAAAACAUGUUCCUGAAAAAUACAGGUAUUUUUUUUAAUGAUAUUAAAACUAAUUUAGCUUGUUUUGCAUAUAAAUCUUCUAAUUUUAAAUGGAUUUGUGAUAGUGGUGCCUCACAACAUAUGUGUGGAAACAAAUAGUUUUUUGUUAAUCUUAGACCUUCAAAUAAAAUUAGAAGAGUCUUAUUACCUAAUGGUGAUUGUUUUUUAAUUGAACAAGUUGGAGAAAUCAUACUUUCUCCAACAAUAACUUUAAAAAAUGUAUAUUACAUUCCAGACUUCAAACUAAAUUUGAUUUUCUCUAUAUAGGAUCAUUGAAGAUAUGGAUAUAUGUAUUUUUUUGAAUAAAAAACACUGUUUUUUUCAGGAUCCUCACAGCAAGGAUCUGAUUGGACAGGCUAGUGCUGAAAAUGGGGUUUAUACAUUUGAUAAAGAGGAAGUUUGUUGUGUUGCUAAAGACAUCAAACUAUGGCAUGCUAGGAUGGGGCAUGUAUCACAUGAUAAGCUUAGAAUGUUAGCUGAAAAUUCAUGUAAUAGCAUUAGUUUUUCAAACAAUUCUAAAUCAAAUAAAGAAAUCAUUUCUCUAUGUGAUAUAUGUCCUUUGGCCAAACAACAAAAAUUAUCAUACACAAAGAGUAUAUCUCAAAGUAAAAACUGUUUUGAUCUUAUUCAUGUUGACAUUUGGGGAAUGUUUUCAAUACCACCAUUUGAUCAAAACUUCUAUUUUUUAACCAUAGUAGAAGAUAAAAGUAGAACAACNNNNNNNNNNNNNNNNNNNNNNNNNNNNNNNNNNNNNNNNNNNNNNNNNNNNNNNNNNNNNNNNNNNNNNNNNNNNNNNNNNNNNNNNNNNNNNNNNNNNUAAAACCCAAUUUAAUACUGUUUUUAAAACCUUAAGAAGUGAUAAUGGGUUAGAAUUCACUUCUUAAAAAUUUAAUAAACUACUAAAAGAGAAUGGUAUAAUCCAUCAAUUCUCUUGCCCCUAUUCUCCUCAACAAAAUAGUAAAGUUGAGAGAAAACACAAAUUAAGACCUAUUAAAUAUUGCUAGGGCAAUUAAGUUACAAGCUGCCCUUCCAAUCAAAUUUUGGGGUUUUUGUAUUUUAGGAGCAACAUACAUAAUAAAUAGGACUUGCUCUAAGUCUUUAGAAAAUAAAACACCAUUUGAGAUUCUAAAUGAAAAAAAACCUAAUAUCAUGUUAACUAAGAUAAUUGGAUGUCUUUGUUAUUAUGAUAAUACCAACAGAGAACAUAAGUUUUCUGUAAGGGCAAAAAGAGGUGUUUUUUUAGGGUAUCCACAAGGAACAAAAGGAUACACAAUUUUGGAUAUUGAAUCUCAAAGAAUAGUAAUAAGUAGAAAUGUUACUUUUAAGGAAAUGGUAUUUCCUUUAAAACAAUUAAAGAAGUUUUUUUAAAAGAAAAUCAAAACAAAUGCAUCUUUGAUGAUUUUAUCUUAAAGAUUUAUGAAAACAAUCAUAAUCUAAAAAAUCAGACUAUAAAUAAAUUUUCUGAUGAAAAGGAUGAUAGAACUAAAGAAGUAUUAGACAAUAAUCUAAUACAAAAUAAGAGUGAUAGUUCUGAAUUCAUUAUAGAUGAUGAGAUUGCAUCUAAAGAUGAUAAAUUAAUACACAAAUCAUCAAAAAAUCAAAUAUUAAACAAGGUAAAUGAUCUUGAUAUAUCAGUUUCAAGCUCAGGAGAAAGUUCAGAUAAAAACUCUGAUAAAAACACCUCCCCUGAGUCAUCAAACUCAGGAGAAAGUUUAGAUAAAAACUCUGAUAAAAACACCUCUCCUGAGUCAUCAAAUUCUGGAGAAAAUUUAGGUAAAAAUACUGAUAUUACAGACAAAAACAGUUCUCCUAGAUCAGCAAAUUUCAGUAAAAAUUUGCAGAAUACUGAUAUCAGUAUUCUGCCAAAUUCAAACACACAAAACCACCACAUAGAAGGUUCUGAUAAUAGGAUUUAUGAUGAUUCUACUGAAACAGAUAAACAGUCAAAUGAAACUAGUUCUGAUCAACUAAAUACCACACAAUAUAGAAGAUCAACUAGAAUACAACACUCAUCUAAAAAUAAAGUUUUCUAUUAUAAGGAAGAUAGUGAUUAUGAUAGUAUUAACUGUAGCACUGAUCACUCAUUAAACAAAUACAUAUCAUAUAAAAAGAUAAAUAAGAAGAAAAAGGAAUAUUUAAGAAAAAUUUCUAUGAGCAAUGAACCUCAUAGUUAUGGAGAAGCUUCUAAAACCCAAAUUGGGUAGAAGCCAUGGAAAAUGAAAUGGAAGCCCUUUUGUUAAACAAAACAUGGGACUUGGUAUCUCUUCCACCCACAAGAAAACCCAUUGGAUCCAAAUGGGUUUUUAAAAUCAAAUAUAACCAAAAUGGGGAAAUAAACAGAUACAAAACUAGAUUAGUGGCUCAGGGAUUUUCCCAAAUAGAAGGUUUUGAUUAUUAUCAUACCUUUGCUCCAGUAGCCAAAAUAACAACCAUUAAAAUACUAAUCACAGUAGCUACUACAAAAAAUUGGAAUUUACAUCAAAUUGAUGUAAAUAAUGCUUUUUUAUAUGGUGAUCUGAAUGAGGAUAUAUACAUGAGACCCCCACCUGGGUUUCUUAAAAAAGAAGAUCAAAGGGUAUGUAAGUUAAAAAAGUCCCUAUAUGGACUAAAACAAGCUUCUAGGCAAUAGUUUGCCAAGCUUAAAGAUACAUUACUGAAAAUGAAUUUUAAACAAUCAUUUUCAGACUAUUCCCUUUUCAUUAAAGAAUCCACUGAAUUUGUUCUAUACUUAGUAAUAUAUGUGGAUGACAUUGUAAUUACAGGAAAUAAUGAGAAGGAGAUAGAAAAACCGAAAAAAGAUCUUAAUACAUUUUUUAAUCUAAAAGACCUAGGAAAACUACAUUAUUUCCUAGGAAUUGAAGUGUCUUAUUCAGACCAUGGAAUUUUCUUAUCCCAAAGAAAAUAUACCCUAGACAUUUUAAAUGAAAAUGGACUGCUAGGGAGUAAACCAUCAAAAAUACCAAUUGAAAAACAAGAUUGGAGACAAGAUGAAUCAAAACCAUAAAAGAUCCUUUUAAAUAUAGAAGAUUAAUUGGAAAACUAAUCUAUCUAAAUACAACAAGGCCUGACAUUACUUUUGCUCUUAGGACCCUAAGUCAAUUUAUGGAGAAACCCACUGAAUUACAUAUGGAUGCCAUUUUUAAACUAUUAAGGUAUCUUAAAAAAUCUCCAGGACAAGGAAUUAUGAUAACCAACAAUAAACCCCUUAUAUUAAGAAGAUAUUGUGAUGCUGAUUGGGGUUCUUGCACCCUAACCAGGAGGUCAGUAACAGGCUUUUGUGUUCUUCUAGGAGAUUCUUUAAUCUCAUGGAAGUCAAAAAAACAAGAACUGGUCUCUCAAUCAUCAGCAGAGGCUGAAUACAGGGCAAUGGCUAAACUUUCAAGUGAGAUAACAUGGGUAAAUCAAUUGCUAAAUGAACUGAGAGUUUAUAAUAAUAAACCAGUUCAAAUAUUUUGUGAUAAUAUAGCUGCCAUACAUAUAGCAGAAAACCUUGUUUUUCAUAAAAGAACCAAACACAUUGAAAGAGAUUGCCAUUUCACAAGAGAGAAAUUAGAAAAAGGUCUAAUUACCUUAAAAUCAAUUGGUACUAAUGACCAAUUAGCAAACAUAUUGACAAAAGGAAUUGGAGAGAUAGAAAUGAGUAAUACGUUGUUCAAACUAGGUAUAAUAGAUAUUUAUGCCUAGCUUGAGGGGGAGUAUUAGUAUUAAAACAUUAAACUAAGUAUUACUCCUUAAUUAAAACUUAAUUAAACUAAGUAUUAGUCAUAGUUUAAUUAAACUAAGUGUUGAUAUUACUAAUGAAGUUUAUUUCAGGUUAAUGGACCAAGCCCAAAACUCAGAUCCGGCCCAGAAAUGAAAUAAAGAUAUUUGAUGGUGAAGGAUCAAGUUGCAAAUAUUAAUUAGUUUUGGGCUGUAAUAAAAUAGAAAAUUUUAUAAAUAGAUAUUGUAAAAACUACAAAUUAAUCAAUUCAAAUAAAAUCGUUUUCCCUUUUUCUGUUAAAAAACAGUUUCACUUCUUCUUCCCCAAUCUUCUUAACGUCGUUCUCCAUCUGGUGAUUCCCGGCCUAUCGACGGGAAUACUGGACCAGAUUUCGCGUUAUACGAGGCUUCUCACAAAUUGAAGGUGUGAUUUCGAUGAGACGAAUAGUCCGGUAGUCUGUUAUCAUGGAUAUUGGACUAGAUCAGCCCAACACUACAAGAAAACAGACUUUUAGCGACGGAUUUUGAUUUUCCUUAAAUUUGAAAAAUUAUUUUGUGAAAAAUUUGUAUCGAAUUUAGGGUUAGGUUAGGGUUACGAAGAUUUACAAGGGAGAUUUAUCGUGACGAAGAUCUACUGGAGUCGACGUUUAAGAAGAAUCAUAUUAGAUUUGAGGUGAUUGAGGAUGAACACAAAAGAUUUAGAGGUGAACAAAGUCACGACAAGAUGAUUUAAUUAACUAAAUUGCAUGAUCACAGUAACUAUUAAGGUUUCUGAAGAUUAAGGGUUCGAGUUUCGUUGUGUACGUAUUUUUUUAAAAUUUCACUACCAUAAUAUCGAAUUAGGGAUUGAUUUAUAUUGGUGUUACGGCACAAUCAGAGAUGCGGCCAGACCUUGUAAGUUGUCUAGAACCGCCCAAACCCGAUUCUAGAUGGCCCGGUCCAGCCCGGGUCCUAGAGUGCCAGCCCAGUAAAGACCAAGGAUAAUGAGGUAUAUUAUAUAUAAAUAAUUUCUGUGGUUAUAUCAGAGAAAAUUAUUUCAUAAAUAAUUUGAUAAUUUUCACAUUUAUUUUAAACCAUCCUUAAAUUUAUUAAUUUAUAUCAUUAUUAUCCUUACCUUAAAUUAAUUUGUAAAAAUGAAAGAGAAUUAAAAUAGAAACUUAGAAAAUGAAUUAAUAUUGAAAUUAAACAUACAAAAUGAAAUAAAAUAUAUCUUCAAUCCCUUUAUAAUUAGUUUUCUAAACUAAUUUAACUGAAUGAAAAUCCGUUAACUUUUUCUAAGGUAGCUAUAACGGAAAUAAAAACAGAAGUAAAAAAAAGAACAAAAGCUCAUUGACUCUCUCUCAUUAGCUAUGUAGUCUAGUUAUACAGUAACUAAAUACGCUGUCUCAGAAGAUUGAUCUUCCAUACUUCCAUCAUAGAUGUCUCCAAAGGGUGACAACAACUCUUCAUGUAAUACAUUGAAUCAAAUGAGAGACUAAUGUCUUUAAUGACCUCCUUAAAGGCUACCUCAGGAGGCCUACUAACGUGCUUUCUAUAUCUUUUAUUUCAUUCCGUCCAUAUAUGUCAUGACAAGCACUAAAUAGCAUUCCAUAGUAGCCCCUAAGAGGGAGAGUGGUGCGUAAUUUUUUGCGCAGCUUCCGUCAGAUCCCCCAAUCUAAUAUCUGAACUGGAUUUGGUGAGAACUGGAAUAUUCAUUAUUUUUCAGAAGGCGAGAUUCAGGUGCUCCGCCUACGGAAUUAAGAGAGAUCUGGAAUAAGAACAGUUAAAGAAAAGAUGAUUACUAGUUUCAUCUUUCAGAUUGCAUAGCAAGCAAACAGAAAGUACUUGUACUUUCCAACUUCUUAACUUCCUGAACGUGUUUAGGUGAUCACAUUUCACCCUCCACAAAAGAAUAAAGAAUUUUAUAAGCAUCUUCGACCAAAUUCCCUCAACUAUCAUGUCUUUAUGCUUUCUAUCUCUUAUACUUUCCACCAUUCCCCCCAACUUGCUUAUCGAAGUAUCAGAUCUCUACACAAUCGUAUUAUUGGCUCUACAAUCCUAAUAUUUAUUCACUAGAUUUCUUUUUGAGAUAAUUUUUUUCCAAUAAUACGAAUCCACGUACAGUAGGUCUGAUUUGUAGAAAUUUCGUUAUAAAUUUACAAAAAAAUACGACUAAAUUUUGGGAAUUCCGUUAAAAAUGAAGGGAAACCCUAGAUAUCAAGGAUUGUGAAUAUCAUUGUCGAUCACCGAUGGAAUGGAAGGCAGUUGUGAUUGAUGGAAUGAAAUUCUCAUCAAAUAGUUUUCGAUGGAGGUGCAAUAGUAUAAGACACUGAAGGUUUUAAUUAUCUUGUUGAACUAAAAAUGAUUUAAAAAAUUGGCAUAGGUCAAAAUAAUAUCCCAUUCUUUUGAUAUUUGAUUCUCCAAGAACCUCAUCUUUACAUCAACAUACAUAUAUGUAUAAAAUAUAAUAAAUAUGAAAAUUUUCUAUCUGCACAAAACUUCAUAGAUGAUAGAAUGUUUCUCUCUGGAUCCAUCCAUAUGUUGAAAAAAUAAUGAGUAGGUCGGUCCUUUACUCCUUUUUUGAAUGGGCAAUGACGAUAGCAACCAUGUCCAUAGAUUGAAGGAGUAGUUUAAUGGCGAGUUCUAAAGGAUUAAUGACAACUUUGUAGGAAACUAAACAUUCAGUAACAUCCGCAUAGCAACUUUUAAUCCUUUCAUCAGCCACCUUGUACUUUUCAAAUUCAAUAAAUGGAAAGGUUCCAUUUAUGAUUUUCGCCACGCCUGUUAAUUUCACCACGCAUUCUUCAGCAGCCUUGGUGUUAAUAGAAUUUGUCCUUUUCUUCAUCUCGACAACAUGUUUAGCUAAUUUUACAGAAUUUUCAGCGUAACCGUGAGUUACAUUGAGUUCAUUCUUCACAAGGCUUCUUUUAUCUAAACACUCAACACCAGAUAAACGAUUGGUACAAAGUUCUUUAUCUUCUUUGGGAGCAGAUUCACAUACUUCCUUCGUAAAGGGAUUCAAUUUAGGAGGAGAGGAUGAAUUGAGGUCAAAGGAGAGGAACACAAGAAGUAUGGUGAAAUAGGAGUAUGCAGAUGCAGCCAUUUUAAUUUGGACUUUUAUUUGAUGAAAUGUAUAACUUUUAUUGGACGAAAAGCUAGAUGAUCGAUGGAAUUAUUUGAUGGAGAAAAGGUGGGGAAUGUUCAGGUUUUUAUACUAAGAUCAACAAAGGGAAGAACAAUUACAACC
RNAcentral lists this long non-coding RNA (17295 nucleotides) under Zostera marina. RNAcentral's name for it is "long non-coding RNA (ZMAR_LNC006123)". The record is from RNAcentral. Lineage: Eukaryota; Viridiplantae; Streptophyta; Magnoliopsida; Alismatales; Zosteraceae.